GCCGGGUGUAGCUCAGUCGGUGGAAGCUCAUUCGUAAUGAGAGGUCGGGUGUUCGAUUCAUCUCUCCGGCACCA
Molecule: transfer RNA, 74 nt
Filed under: Candidatus Aalborgicola defluviihabitans
Lineage: Bacteria; Pseudomonadati; Pseudomonadota; Betaproteobacteria; Burkholderiales; Comamonadaceae
Description: tRNA-Thr
Source: RNAcentral